CGAGGCGGCGGGAGGCCAGGUCCGCGGGCGCCGUCCCUGGUUCCAGCCUCCCCUGCUCCCGGCUCAGGGCAGAGCCGGCGCCCGCGGCUCGGUGCUGGGGCUUGCUCUAAGCUCGGGCUCUCCUGGGCCGCGGUCCAAGCCCGGGUGGACGGAACACGGCCCGGCAGUGCUCAGGGUUCAAGGGUGGUUCUCUUCCCAUCUGAUCACGUAGCUCCGCCGUGGGGCCGCCCUUAGAUCUGGUGCCCUGCCUGGCCCUGCCCUGUGACCCUGUCCUUCCUCCGGGUGCUCAGCAAGCUUUCCAGAUGGAGCCCUACCGCCUGCCCACCUGUCAGCUUCCUGAAAGAGGAUGGUGGUCUUUUUUGAGCAGACCCCCAGCAGAAGAGAUGCUGCAGAGCUUCCUGGUGCUGCUGUGGAAGAGUGGGGCACCUGCCUGGUAUCCUUGGAGCUUGUGGCACUUGUGGAAAGGCUGUGCCAGGAACUUCAGGAUGACCUUGCCUAGAUGGAGUCCUUGUUGGAGGCCUUGCUGGAGAGCUGGCUCUGCCUACAUCCGCUGGUUUGUGAGGACAUGGUGCAGAUAUGCACAUUCAUGCUGGCCCAGCAGGGGCAGUACCAGGCCACCUGCUGGUUCUUGGAGGUGGGCCUGGGGCAGUGUGGGAGACAGAGGGAGUCUGCAGCCACCCUGA
Molecule: long non-coding RNA, 683 nt
Organism: Dasypus novemcinctus (nine-banded armadillo)
Lineage: Eukaryota; Metazoa; Chordata; Mammalia; Cingulata; Dasypodidae
Source: Ensembl